GUGAUGUCAGAGAAGCCUCUUGGUUGGGCUCUGGUGACAGUUUAAAUCCUCAACAGUCAUACUGGUGUCAGGGACGCAGAGCAGUGCCUCUGGGUUGCCGGUCCAGGGGAUGUGUCCCUGAGCAUUUGAGGAGAGGAGAGGGGGUGGUCAGCUGUUUCAUUUUGGGGUUCUUCCUGACCCUUAGAAGACUGAGAUGAGCCCGACUGCAAAGAAGAUGAAGUUGAAGUCACUCUUCUAGAAACUGGGCGGAUCUUGUGGUGAUAAAGAGGGAAGGAUGGGCCUUUGAACAUGGCUCAGCUUACCAGACAUCAUAUCUGGACCUGGAUCUUCCUGGCGUCACCCUCAUUGGCUGUCCUGGAGACACACUUUGCGAUCCCUGCAAGCUCAUUUCAGUCCUCAGAGUGCCUGCAACCCUUGCCACUGAGAUUCGAGUGAAGAAUGAGAUAAGUACUAAGAAUGUGGUCGAUUGGGCUUGAGUCCCCUCACAAACUUAUACUGGAUAACCCAGCAGGAGACUUCGCGUGCUGAACACUCCCCCGUGUGAUUCCCACAAUGAAAGGACAUUGCUGACUGGAACCAGAAGAGCCAAGAAAACCCAGGGAGGCCAGUUUACACCCGUUACCCACUGGAUUUGAAAAGGAUGGUCACUUCCUUCCGGUAGUGGAUGACUACUUUGUCAAGAAAUUGAAGGGUUUGGGAACUCCCUUCGCCUUGUGCAAUUUGACACAUUUUAUAUUUAUGAAUGAAUGUUGCAAAAAAAAAAAAAUACUUGGGUCUUGGGUGAGGAUUUCUCAGGGAUUAAAAAAAUAAAAUAGAUGCAGGACACACAGUCCGCCCUGCUUCCUCCCAUCCAGUCCCAGGGGCCUCAAGCCCACAGCCAUGACAGAGAAAAUAUUUUUCUUUGUUUGUAUCCAAGAGAGAAGCAGCUGUCUGUCCUUCUGUCCCCUUCCAUCCCCGCCUCUCUCUGGAAAGACAGGAGAAAAACUUUUGUUUCUUGGGAGAAGAGCCGGGAUUCUCCCUCUAGCCCUUUGGAAUAUAAUAAGCCUCUCUCCAAAAGCCUGAAAUUGUCUUGAACAUUUGGAACCAGAGGGAGGGCUCCAGGGUGUAGAAUGGAAAUACCUGGGGAAGCGGGAAGUAGCUGUCCCUUCUCCCGACAUCUUAAGAACUUCACCUGAGGUGUUAGUCUGGGCUUUAACUACUUGGUCCUCUUAGGGAGUUCACUGAAAGUUUUAUUAUCCUCGUGGAUCAGAGAAAAUAGAAUAAAUGGAUGAGGUAAAAGAAAAAAAAUCUGAGCUUUAGGGAAAAUCAAGGCAAACUGCUGUCAGCUGGACACCCAGGUCUGUGUCCCAGAAGUACUAAGACACUCUAAAAAGCUUUGGUUUACAAAAAUAUAAGAUAGAACAAAAAACCAUCACACGGAAGUUGUGAUGUGGGGCAAACUAACAGAAGGAAAAAAGCCCAAGGGAAGGCACUAGAACCAGAGACUGGUUCCCACACUCGAUAGUUUCAUGAAAAUACUUAAAAACUGAAAGCUUUACUGUAUAUGCAAAGGAACUGGCUCAGAACCAAGGUUUUUGACGACAUUGCAUAGAGUGUAGUUAGGAUUUUGCAGAUGGAAAUGAGCAUCCUUACGAUCCUUCCUGGGGAGGCAGACACCCAGGAAAAUCGGCUCUUUGACUGACACGACUUUAACUCCAGAAAUUCCACUUUGUGGAAUCGUGACAAAGGUGAAGCAUGAGGUUCAGAGGAGAUACAAGAAUUACAACUGCAAGAUGCCUGAGAUCGACAGACCCGAAAGCAAAUGUAAAAGGAAGCAAUGCGGCGGAAGUGGAGAGGGGCAGGCCUCCCGAGAGCCUCUGGGAACGGAAGUGAUGUCCAGCCCCGCCCUCCCCGUAAGAUGUAAAGCUGGAUACAGGGUAAAUGGCCGUUUUUUUUUUUUUUUCUUCUUCCCCAAUUUUGCCAGCUUGUCUCAAUGUUUUGGUCUUCCAGUUUUCCUUUGAGAACGUGUCUAGUAACAGACCUGAGAGAACAGUUGUGACUGCAGACCUGAGCUCGUGGGGUGCUAGUGCAUUGUGUUGGAUUGUUCUUAAAUGAUCCUCUUAUAUCCUGAUCUGGGAUACUUUUCUUUGUCUACUUAAAUGAAAAGUGCGAAGCACAGCUCUUGUCCCAAAAGGAAUAAGAGAAUCUGUCUUGAGCCAAAUAUGAAUGACCAAUGCGCAGAAACUCACAUGGUAGUUUUCUCAAAUGUGAUGUACUCUCCUCCAUGGAAGAGAUUACAUGAACAGUCAUGCAUAUAGAACAAGAAGUCAUGUGUGAAUGCAUUUGCCCAAUACAUUGGUGCAGACAUUAGGUACACAGUCACAGAAGAGAAAGGAACCCUCAUCAAAAGGACUUGGGUUGGGGUUUGGGAUUGGUGGGACACGGUGAGCACAUUGCAAAAGUUUUGCCUGAUAGUAAAAAUGACUUCCGGUCAGAUACCGAGCCUGGUCGUCUUGUUAACAUUGUCUAGAGGUCAUUUUAGCACUCGACAUAGAACUCCCCAAUCUCCCGGCCAGAAUUCGAUUGGUCAGUUGCUGCAGAAUCUUCCGUGUGAAUGUGUCCUUUUCAGAAAAUGAUAAUGCACAGCAUGGGGCAAGAUGUGGAGACAGCAGUAUCGUCUUUUGAAGAGUGCACAAAGAGUUUAAAUGCAGCCAAGGGGAGUGUGCACGCGUAGCUCAGUGCCAAUGGGAAUUGCAUGAGUUUAUGCCAAGGAACAAACUGUAUCUGUGAGUGGACACGGGCAGGGCUGUCACAGGAACAAAUGGAAGUGUUUUUUAAGGAACUUGUUUUUUAAGAGAACUUCAUUCUCUCAACGAUAUACUCUAUGCCAGGAACUAUACUCUUCCAAACAUGCAGUGCUGGGCAGCAGUCUUGGUACCCGUGAAAUUGUUCCCCGGUUGUAGGGGUGAGGCAUUAUAGUCAGACACAUGUCCCACGAGGUCAGGCAGCAGAAAUGUCUUGAUGAAAAAACCAAACUGCAUGACCCAGACAUGGGGCUGCUGUUCUAAAUGGGGUGAUGAGGGAAGGCUUCUCUUUAAGGGACAAUAACUGAGCAGAGACCCAAAGAAAGAGGGAUGCCAAGUGCUACUGAGGCAAGCAUCACUUUGUGGCUCGCUUCUAUUCUCCAGAGGCUCGGGUUCGUAGCACAGCUAACGCAACCCUAGCAUGUUCUGGGUUAUCUUCUAGUGUGAGAAGACACCUGGGUCCAUAGCCUGCCACCUUAGUUUGUCUGCAUUCCUACACUAAAUAAAUAUAUAUCUUAUCAUUUAUAUAAUCGGUAAUCGGAAAUUGGUAAAGAAAAAUGGAUUUAUUUACAGUUUGGACAAAAUGGAAAGAGAUGGAGACAUUUUCUCCUGCAGCUCCAUAUAGUGUGUGCCACCUUUCAUAUGUGCACAGAACACACAUAGAAAGGAAGUGUGGGACUCGGGACUCUGCCAGGUGCAAAGUUCUGGUGCCUCUCUCUCUCUCUCUCUCUCUCUCUCUCUCUCUCUCUCUCUCUCUCUCUCUCCCUCUCUCUCUCUCUCUCUCUCUCUCUCUCUCUCUCUCUCCCCCCCCCUCCAGGUUUGGAGGUGUGAUGUUCCCACCACACAGCAGAGGCGUUACCAUCUACCUCCUCCCUCCCGGAAAUAGACAGUAGCUGUUCAUUACCUAGAGCGGCACUGUUCCGGGAAAUGUAAGGUGCAAAGAGUAAGCACUCUGCAGAGUCAUGUUUCGGGCUCAGCUCCUGGUUUCCUAUUGUGUGACCUUAACCCUGACCCCUCUGUAACAGUAUCACUAAAACAAGGACCUUUUUACCUAUCCCACAGUAACAGUGGAUGUCAAGGACUUCAUCGAUGUCUGGUGUGGAAGUGUUAAAUCUGUGUCUUACUGUUGUUACUGCUACCAAAGAGUCAGUCCUCACUGAACUUAGAGAAUUCUUUUCCCCGAGUGUAUUGAGUAUAAUUAACAAAUAAAGCAUCCGCGUAUUUAAGAUGGAAUGUGGUGUUUUCAUAUAUGCACUGGGAAGGAUUACCAAAAUCACGUCUGUUGAUAUCGGGACCACAGCGCACCUUCUGUGUCAG
Long non-coding RNA from Rattus norvegicus (Norway rat), 4100 nucleotides. The record is from Ensembl. NCBI's taxonomy places the organism in Eukaryota, Metazoa, Chordata, Mammalia, Rodentia, Muridae.